RNAcentral lists this long non-coding RNA (214 nucleotides) under Mytilus galloprovincialis (Mediterranean mussel). Lineage: Eukaryota; Metazoa; Mollusca; Bivalvia; Mytilida; Mytilidae. The record is from RNAcentral.
CCCCAAACUAAAAUUUUAUACAUGAACUGGGUGAUUAAUUAUCUUUACUUUUACAUACGAAUACAAUUUAAAAAAAAUUAGAACCACAACCACAAACAACAACACAUUUAACAAUAUCUGAUCAGCACUACAAAUAUAACAUCAUAGCCAAGUACAUUAAUUGUGGAUAGCAAAGUACCCUGACACGUCUUACGGAAAUCAAACUCAACAAAAC